GCAGCCGUGCCCAGUCCGGUUCCGGGCAUCGCCGGUAGCCCGACAACAGCGCAGGGGCUCGAAAUUGUGAGUUCAAUCCUCACCGGCAGCACCA
This 94-nucleotide transfer RNA is filed under the name Sphingomonas bacterium. Its description in RNAcentral is "tRNA-Val". Lineage: Bacteria; Pseudomonadati; Pseudomonadota; Alphaproteobacteria; Sphingomonadales; Sphingomonadaceae. The record is from RNAcentral.